RNAcentral lists this long non-coding RNA (405 nucleotides) under Physcomitrium patens. RNAcentral's name for it is "long non-coding RNA (PPAT_LNC007086)". The record is from RNAcentral. Lineage: Eukaryota; Viridiplantae; Streptophyta; Bryopsida; Funariales; Funariaceae.
GAGCCAGGGUAAGCUUGGUGCUACCUCUUUGUUUCUUUGUUGUUGGAGAGUAAUGGAUAGUUUUUGAAUACGAAAAAGUGUACCUAUGGAAUAAAUCAGAGAUUGAUUUAUGAGUUAUUGAUUAUGUAAUUGGAGUAUUGUGUGAUUGAAUUAUAUGAAAAGUUAUUAGAAGCUAUAUUAUGGAUGGAAGAUUAUAAUUGUUGUUUAUUGAGAAUUGUGUAUGUUUCGAUAAAAGAAGUCUAUGAUUACAAAAAUUGUGUGAAUCUAGAUUGGUUGGAGUGAAGUCUGUUAUUUCUUGUGUUGAAUGGAAUUUAUGUGUUUUGAGCAGUCUUUUGAGAGUGUAGGAUUGCACAUUGUUGUUAUCAAUUGAUGAAGGAGUAUUGUUACUAGGAAAAAGCAUUGUAG